UCAUGUAACACCCCGAUUUUCGCUAGGAUUAUUUAUUUAUUAUAUUUGUUUAAUUGCUUGUUUGAUGUGUUUGAUUGAGAUUUAGUAGAUUUUUAGACUAGAGGGGUAUUUUGAUCAUUUUAUGACUAAUGUCAUUUUUGAUAAUUUUAGAAUGAAGGGUAUUAUAGUAAUUUUGGGUGUGUGAGGUUAUCUAAUGAAGUUAAUAGUAACUUUGGCAUAAUUAUUAAGAUAGUGGUGUAUGAGUAUUUGGUAGAAGGGUAUUUUAGUAAUUGAUAGAUGAAGGUAAACCUAAGUAUAAAAGGAGGAUUUAGAGGGAGAAGUAGUCAUUUUUUAUAAAAAUUGAGAAAUGAGGUAGAGAGGAGAAAAGAAGAGAUCGAAGAAGAGAGAAAGAAAAGGUUUUGGGAAAGUUAGAGAGGAAGAACAACAAGAUUAACAAAGGAGAGGAACUCAAUGAUUCAUCAAGCCAAGUUAUCAUCAUUUCUCCAAUUCUAGAGUUUCUCAGGUGUUGCGUUUUGGUGUUCGUGUUCCGGUGUAGCCUCGCUCUGAUUUGGACACAUAGGGAGGGUGUAUAGUAUUUCAAUUUUUUUUUAUAUGGUCUAGGUUAAGACAUAAAAAUGUAUAAGCCACUGGUAAAAGAUUUUCAUCUAGUGCAUGUGUAUACUAAUUAAAUUUAUAGCAAUGUAAUUUGGGAAUAGUAAUACCCUAAUUCAUAAUAUUCAUCUAUCUCCAUCCUUAAUUAUUAAUCAAUAAAGUUUUAUUUUUAUCCGCUGCGAAAAUUUUAAAACAAUCCUCUUAUAAAACUAGAGUAAUACGAGUAUUCAGGUUAGGGUGUUACAAAGUGGUAUCAGAGCCCCGUUGGUCCAAUCGGACUAUGUGGGCUAGGUGUGUGUUAUGUGUCGAUCAGAGCAGGUCUGUUGAGUCAGGCCAAGUGUGCAUUGAGUCGGUUGUGUUUGUUUAUCGGUUGAUCUUUUGAUCUUUUUAUGAGUUAAUUGUUGUUUACACUUGCACCUUAGUCAUUUAGUUAUCUUGCAAGUUGGUGAAUUGCUUUAUGAUGUUCGUUGUUAUUUUCUUCAUGACAUGUUGCUUUACUCGAUUCUCGAUGUUGUGUUUUAAUUAGUAAUGAGAUUAGAAUUAAUAAAACCUUGUUGAAAAUCCAGAUUCUUUUCUCUUGAAUAAUUGAAUACUAAUUUUUGUAUAAAAUUAGGAAGAGUAAAAUAUUAAUAGUGAAAUUAAGUGAGCUUUAAAAUGUGCAUGAUAUACGUCGUCAUGUUUUCCGAAAAGUUGAUAAAUGAUGUUGUCUUUCUUUUGACGGAUUUUGAAAAGUGAUGUAAAUUUAAAUGUGAGUGAUUCAUUUUCUUAAGUGUUCUUUUUAGUCAUCACAUGAUUUUGAAUACAACGUUUUGUUAUGAGUAUGUUAGUAUGAUAAAGAGAGUUAUGCCACAAUCAUGAUUAUCGGCAGCCUAUUAGCAAAUUAAGGAUCUGAUCACCCUUAAUCUGUUGUUAAUAGUAGACGGAAUCAUGUUGACUGGAGUAAACUAAUUUUGUCAAACUUUAGUAGCAUGUAGAGUUUGCUACGAAAUAAGAAAUGAUUUGUUAUGAAAAAUGUGAUUUUUUUUUUUUAUGUACUAAUCAUGUUUUGUGAAUUCGAAAUUUUGUGGUGAUUGUAUAUGAUGUUAUAAAUAAUUUUGUGUUGCUUUGUUGUUUGAUACUAAAACAUGUUUAGGGAUAUGCUAGUUGUGUGAGUGUGUACGAAUUUAUUGAUGUCUGUGUUAUUAGUAUGUAAGUUUGUGGUUUUAUGAAGUUGAUAUCAGUCUUAUUUAUGUUCAUGCUAUGAAUUACUUGCUAGAUGUGUUGUUUUUGUUUCCUAAUAUUAUAACAUGUCCGGUGUAUAUGCUUUUCUGUGUUGCAUGCUUUUGAAUGUACCGUUUCCUUCAUGCGGGCUUAGGCCUAUGUUCCAGGAGUUUUGUUUUCGUAAAUAUGGUAUGUGAUCUAUUUUAUUAUGCAUGAUAGAAUUCCUAGUAUUUUAUUGAUGUUGUGUCUAGGUAACUCCUUCAUGAUGAAUUGUCUUUAUUGAGUUGAAUUUGGUUUUCAAUUGUUUUGAAAAACCAGAGAAGUAUGGUUUAGAGGGAAUGAAUGUCGUCAGUAGAGUUUACCGUUAAUACCUUAAAUAAAGAGUCGAAACCAGACUCUGAUACCUAGUUGACCUUUUGGGAGAAUUACGAUAUUAAUAGAAUUUGGAGUUGUAUUUUACGAGUAAUUUUCGAGGACGAAAAUUCUUUAAGUGGGGGAGAGUUGUAACACCCCGAUUUUCGCUAGGAUUAUUUAUUUAUUAUAUUUGUUUAAUUGCUUGUUUGAUGUGUUUGAUUGAGAUUUAGUAGAUUUUUAGACUAGAGGGGUAUUUUGAUCAUUUUAUGACUAAUGUCAUUUUUGAUAAUUUUAGAAUGAAGGGUAUUAUAGUAAUUUUGGGUGUGUGAGGUUAUCUAAUGAAGUUAAUAGUAACUUUGGCAUAAUUAUUAAGAUAGUGGUGUAUGAGUAUUUGGUAGAAGGGUAUUUUAGUAAUUGAUAGAUGAAGGUAAACCUAAGUAUAAAAGGAGGAUUUAGAGGGAGAAGUAGUCAUUUUUUAUAAAAAUUGAGAAAUGAGGUAGAGAGGAGAAAAGAAGAGAUCGAAGAAGAGAGAAAGAAAAGGUUUUGGGAAAGUUAGAGAGGAAGAACAACAAGAUUAACAAAGGAGAGGAACUCAAUGAUUCAUCAAGCCAAGUUAUCAUCAUUUCUCCAAUUCUAGAGUUUCUCAGGUGUUGCGUUUUGGUGUUCGUGUUCCGGUGUAGCCUCGCUCUGAUUUGGACACAUAGGGAGGGUGUAUAGUAUUUCAAUUUUUUUUUAUAUGGUCUAGGUUAAGACAUAAAAAUGUAUAAGCCACUGGUAAAAGAUUUUCAUCUAGUGCAUGUGUAUACUAAUUAAAUUUAUAGCAAUGUAAUUUGGGAAUAGUAAUACCCUAAUUCAUAAUAUUCAUCUAUCUCCAUCCUUAAUUAUUAAUCAAUAAAGUUUUAUUUUUAUCCGCUG
Trifolium pratense (red clover) is the source of this 3060-nucleotide long non-coding RNA. RefSeq lists it as uncharacterized. The transcript has 3 exons. The record is from RefSeq and is a predicted model, not a curated record. Lineage: Eukaryota; Viridiplantae; Streptophyta; Magnoliopsida; Fabales; Fabaceae.